GCUGGCCCCGCCCCUUCUGGGCAGAGCCACGCCCCCUUGGCACAUAGCCACGCCCAUUCUGCGCAAAGUCACGCCCCCUUGGGGGAUCUGCAUUGGGGAUGCUAAUUGGAGGGCAGGGGACACCCUGGGGUGGCAGCUGGGGACAGUGGGGUUUGGGGGUCCCCGGAGCGGGUUUUUGGGGGGGACGUGCCCUGCUUUCCCCGGGUGCAUGUGCACACACGUGUGCACGCCCACGCACACGCGUGUGCCGGCUGCCGCCUCCCACGCUGCCCCCCCUCCCCCCCCCAAAAAAAACCCCGGUGGCAAAUUGGGGUCCGGAGGCGCCACCGAAGUGGGAGGCCCCCGCCGGGGCUGGGCACGGCCCCGCAGAAGGGGCGGCCGGUGGGUGCCAACAUGCCCCCGCCUCGCUUGGGCACCUCUGCUCCACGCGAGGGGCCCAGGUGUCCUGCCCUGGGGUGGGAAGGGGGGGAGACAGAAAGGGGAGCAGCAAGCAGGGAUGGAGCUGGAGGCGCCGGGUCCCCAACGGAGAGCGUCCCCCCCCGAGCCUGGGUCCCCGCAGGCAGCUCAGGCUGAGGGGUGGCCCCGUCCCCACCGUGGGGGGGGGGGGGGCCGUGCCCGGUGGCCCCCCAUCCUCACAGGCCCGGGACAGGCGGAGGCCCGCGGAGCCGGCAAGGAGGGGCCCCGGGGGAGGGAGCGGGCCCCCCGGCAGCAUCGCCCGCCUCUGGAUUCUCGGGAAUUACCAGCUUGCAACACAGGAAACGCUGCCGCUCGUGGUGGAAAACACCCGCCGCCACCCCCCGCGGGCCACGGAGCCCGGGCAGAAGGGGCCAGGCCCCGCCGGCACCAUCGACUGCCCCCCGGGGGGCUGCCGGGGCCGGGGGGGCAAGGGGGUGCCGGGACCGGGCUCGCUGGGGCUUUCCUUGGGCUCCCAGCCCGGCUGUUUGGAGCGGAACCAGCCCCACGGCAGGGGAUUUGCUCACCUUUCCUGGGAGGCUGAGAUCAUGCCUGAACCACUGCCAAGCGCCGGGGAAACUGAGGCAGCGUCCGGCAGCACCGACCGGGGCCCAGCCCUGCGCCCGGGGGCCAUUUGGGGCCUGAACCCUCCUGCUUCAGGGAGGGACCAGCAAAAAGAGGCAAAAAAGGGAAGGGGGAUCUGGCCUGGUGCCCGCGGGGGACCCCGGGGCCGGGCGACGGAGCCGCUCGGCGGGUCAGAGGAGCCAGGAUCAAACCGUGGCCUCUCCCGGGGCCACAAAGUCACUGUUUUAUUCGGGAAUUCAGAGCAUGCCCAAGCGCGGGCAGCAGCGGAUCCCCCCGUGCGGGCGCAGCCCCGGCGGGGCGCUGACGCCGGNNNNNNNNNNNNNNNNNNNNNNNNNNNNNNNNNNNNNNNNNNNNNNNNNNNNNNNNNNNNN
Molecule: long non-coding RNA, 1409 nt
Filed under: Apteryx owenii (little spotted kiwi)
Lineage: Eukaryota; Metazoa; Chordata; Aves; Apterygiformes; Apterygidae
Description: lncRNA (ENSAOWG00000018449.1)
Source: RNAcentral